ACCUUAUGGGAGUUCCCUUGUACAUUAUUUGUCAUUUUUCCCUUGUUGCUUUUAAUAUUUAAUCUUUGUCUUUAAUUUUUUGUCAGUUUGAUUACUAUCUGUCUUGGUGUAUUCCUCCUUGGGUUUGUCUUGCCUGGGAUUCUCUAUGCUUCCCGGACUUGGUUGACUAGUUCCUUUCCCAUGUUCAGGGAA
Cervus elaphus (red deer) is the source of this 192-nucleotide long non-coding RNA. RefSeq lists it as uncharacterized. NCBI's taxonomy places the organism in Eukaryota, Metazoa, Chordata, Mammalia, Artiodactyla, Cervidae. The transcript is spliced from 3 exons. The record is from RefSeq and is a predicted model, not a curated record.